CUCCUCUUGGCAAGCUUCCAGGUGGAGGAGGUGGACGAGGUGGUCCACCAGGUGGAGGAGGUGGUGGUGGUGGUGCACCUGGUGGUGGAGGUGGCACUCCACCUGAAGGAUUGGCAUUUGUAGCAACUGGAGCACCAGCAGAUGAUUUAGGAGGAGGCCGCGGCACCCUAGGAGCCCUCUUCUCGGUGUGGGCAAGUUUCAUCUUGCUUACUGUCUGCGAAUCAACAUCCUUACCAUCACUAGAUUGUUCACUUGACUCACCAGAGGCAACUGGUUUCUCUUUUAUUUGGGAAAGUUU
This 298-nucleotide long non-coding RNA is filed under the name Populus trichocarpa (black cottonwood). Its description in RNAcentral is "long non-coding RNA (PTRI_LNC002545)". The record is from RNAcentral. Lineage: Eukaryota; Viridiplantae; Streptophyta; Magnoliopsida; Malpighiales; Salicaceae.